GGCUGGUAGCCUUCUCGAAGGGGUUGUUUACAUGGGCAAGAUGGGUCAAGGCCAACGUCAAUCCAGCCCGGACCAAGGUCUUCUUCCAAGGGAUAUCUCCAACACAUUACCAGGGCAGGGAUUGGGGUGAGCGGAAUGCCAAGGAAUGUUACGGACAGACACGACCAGUGAGCGGGUCGAAAUAUCCAGCAGGAUUGCCACCGGAGCACACGGUGCUGAAUAAUGUGUUGAGUACCAUAUCCAAAACUGUAUAUCUCCUAGAUAUAACCUUACUUUCGCAGCUGAGAAAAGACGGUCACCCGAGCGUGUACGGUGGUGGCCGCGAAAUAGACUGCAGUCACUGGUGCAUUGCCGGGGUUCCAGACACAUGGAAUCAGAUAUUGUAUGCACAGCUCCUUCAAUAACAAGCUGCUCAUUAUGGCUUGUUAAGCAUGGCAAUUGUUUGUGAAAUGUACCAUAAACAUUGGUUAACAUUGCGGGUAUAGGAUCAAAAGAAAUUGGUUCGUG
RNAcentral lists this unclassified non-coding RNA (507 nucleotides) under Hevea brasiliensis (rubber tree). The record is from RNAcentral. Lineage: Eukaryota; Viridiplantae; Streptophyta; Magnoliopsida; Malpighiales; Euphorbiaceae.